Molecule: ribosomal RNA, 253 nt
Filed under: uncultured bacterium
Lineage: Bacteria
Description: partial 16S ribosomal RNA
Rfam family: Bacterial small subunit ribosomal RNA
Source: RNAcentral
UACGAAGGGGGCUAGCGUUACUCGGAAUUACUGGGCGUAAAGGGCGCGUAGGCGGAUACUUAAGUUAGAGGUGAAAGCCCAGGGCUCAACCCUGGAAUAGCCUUUAAUACUGGGUAUCUUGAGUUCGGGAGAGGUGAGUGGAAUGCCGAGUGUAGAGGUGAAAUUCGUAGAUAUUCGGCGGAACACCAGUGGCGAAGGCGACUCACUGGCCCGAUACUGACGCUGAGGCGCGAAAGCGUGGGGAGCAAACAGG